CCACCAAAAAAGUACGAAAAACAGUCAGGCGU
Molecule: non-coding RNA, 32 nt
Filed under: Homo sapiens (human)
Lineage: Eukaryota; Metazoa; Chordata; Mammalia; Primates; Hominidae
Source: RNAcentral